RNAcentral lists this ribosomal RNA (158 nucleotides) under Calycina marina. RNAcentral's name for it is "5.8S ribosomal RNA". It matches the Rfam family "5.8S ribosomal RNA". From Rfam's summary of the family: 5.8S ribosomal RNA (5.8S rRNA) is a component of the large subunit of the eukaryotic ribosome. Lineage: Eukaryota; Fungi; Ascomycota; Leotiomycetes; Helotiales; Pezizellaceae. The record is from RNAcentral.
AACUUUCAACAACGGAUCUCUUGGUUCUGGCAUCGAUGAAGAACGCAGCGAAAUGCGAUAAUUAAUGUGAAUUGCAGAAUUUAGUGAAUCAUCGAAUCUUUGAACGCACAUUGCGCCCCUUGGUAUUCCGGGGGGCAUGCCUGUUCGAGCGUCAUUUC